RNAcentral lists this ribosomal RNA (1372 nucleotides) under uncultured bacterium. RNAcentral describes it as "bacterial SSU rRNA". It matches the Rfam family "Bacterial small subunit ribosomal RNA", at positions 28 to 1381 of the family's 1533-position model. The record is from RNAcentral.
GAUGAACGCUGGCGGCGUGCCUAAUACAUGCAAGUCGAGCGAACGGACGAGAAGCUUGCUUCUCUGAUGUUAGCGGCGGACGGGUGAGUAACACGUGGAUAACCUACCUAUAAGACUGGGAUAACUUCGGGAAACCGGAGCUAAUACCGGAUAAUAUUUUGAACCGCAUGGUUCAAAAGUGAAAGACGGUCUUGCUGUCACUUAUAGAUGGAUCCGCGCUGCAUUAGCUAGUUGGUAAGGUAACGGCUUACCAAGGCAACGAUGCAUAGCCGACCUGAGAGGGUGAUCGGCCACACUGGAACUGAGACACGGUCCAGACUCCUACGGGAGGCAGCAGUAGGGAAUCUUCCGCAAUGGGCGAAAGCCUGACGGAGCAACGCCGCGUGAGUGAUGAAGGUCUUCGGAUCGUAAAACUCUGUUAUUAGGGAAGAACAUAUGUGUAAGUAACUGUGCACAUCUUGACGGUACCUAAUCAGAAAGCCACGGCUAACUACGUGCCAGCAGCCGCGGUAAUACGUAGGUGGCAAGCGUUAUCCGGAAUUAUUGGGCGUAAAGCGCGCGUAGGCGGUUUUUUAAGUCUGAUGUGAAAGCCCACGGCUCAACCGUGGAGGGUCAUUGGAAACUGGAAAACUUGAGUGCAGAAGAGGAAAGUGGAAUUCCAUGUGCAGCGGUGAAAUGCGCAGAGAUAUGGAGGAACACCAGUGGCGAAGGCGACUUUCUGGUCUGUAACUGACGCUGAUGUGCGAAAGCGUGGGGAUCAAACAGGAUUAGAUACCCUGGUAGUCCACGCCGUAGACGAUGAGUGCUAAGUGUUAGGGGGUUUCCGCCCCUUAGUGCUGCAGCUAACGCAUUAAGCACUCCGCCUGGGGAGUACGACCGCAAGGUUGAAACUCAAAGGAAUUGACGGGGACCCGCACAAGCGGUGGAGCAUGUGGUUUAAUUCGAAGCAACGCGAAGAACCUUACCAAAUCUUGACAUCCUUUGACAACUCUAGAGAUAGAGCCUUCCCCUUCGGGGGACAAAGUGACAGGUGGUGCAUGGUUGUCGUCAGCUCGUGUCGUGAGAUGUUGGGUUAAGUCCCGCAACGAGCGCAACCCUUAAGCUUAGUUGCCAUCAUUAAGUUGGGCACUCUAAGUUGACUGCCGGUGACAAACCGGAGGAAGGUGGGGAUGACGUCAAAUCAUCAUGCCCCUUAUGAUUUGGGCUACACACGUGCUACAAUGGACAAUACAAAGGGCAGCGAAACCGCGAGGUCAAGCAAAUCCCAUAAAGUUGUUCUCAGUUCGGAUUGUAGUCUGCAACUCGACUACAUGAAGCUGGAAUCGCUAGUAAUCGUAGAUCAGCAUGCUACGGUGAAUACGUUCCCGGGUCU